GCAUGAAGGAGUUGAUGCACCACAGUUGAGAGUAAGGGAAACUUCACUGUUAAAGUCUCAGCAGGACAUAAUCAGAAAGAUCUUGAUGAGCUACAGAAACAGUUCAAAUCUUCUCUGAUGCCGCAAGAAAUGUACUGCCACUUUUAGGGAGAAGGAAAGUGUUCAAAAGACACCAGGAAGCUCUUCACACAUUUUUCAACUUCAGUUAGAGAAAAGAGACAGCAAAACCAGGCAUACCUGAGAUAAAACAGGGAAGGAAAGACAGAGGCAGGCUCACCUCCAUCUACCAUCGAAAUGCAACUGCCUUUUCAACAACAACAGCUGUUUUAGGAAGUCUACAAAUCAUACACAAAAGCUCUGGGAAAGAAGCAAAGAGCUGCAGUUUGAAUCUGCAACAGGAAUUUCCAGGAAAAAAAGAAAAGAAAAAAAAAAAGCAAAUUGAAUAUUGUUCUCUCUAGUAGCUCUGCUAUCCAGUCUUCAACAACCACAAGUGGUCAGGGCCUCUCAUUUUGUAAGUCAAUUGUAAGGCAGCUGUUUUAUUUUCUAAGUGGGAAUAUAGUUCACCUUGAGCCCAACUUCAGUUGUUGCAACUUUUCUACCAUUAAAUAUAACACAAAAUAGAUUAUCAGCAUGGGGAGAGGAUAGAGAGUGUUUGAACAAAACAAGAUAUUAAUUUUCAACAUAGAAGAGAACUCUCAUCCUGGAAACACUGCUGUGCUAUUGUGUGAGGCACAGUUUUCAUCUGAAAUUGGACAAACCAUUUGGAAAGUAAUUCAGGUUUCUUUAAAUAGAGAAUAUAUUACACACAGAUGGUGAUGGAAGGAUUCAGUAUCCACAGCUAUGUUAACUGUAUGUAAUAAAUUAGAAAUAUCUUCUUUUAAUAGAUCCUAAUUGUGACAUUCUGCCCCAAAAACUCUUUUGGAAAUGCCCCAGCAUGUUCUACCUCUAACUCACUGUGAUCAUGUUUCUUUUGUUAAUUCUGCUGUUGUGGCAUUGCUACCAACUUCUCCUUUUUGUCUUGCAACUGAUGGCCAAUACUUGAUUCAAUAGCUGAGGGCAAAUUGAGCAUGCUUCAAGAACUAUAACUAAGAAUCAAUGAUCUGACUUCCAUCAAUAGUGAGCAGCCAAAAGCCUCUUGAGCCCUCCUGCACGGCAGCUGGUUCCAUGGCAGGAUUUCCCCUGGAGUAAGGACACCUCUUGAGAUUAUGCCUGAGCAGAGAUCCCUUAUACCUUGAUAUAGAUCCUUGGCAAAUUAUUAAUAUUUCUAAAAAGUCUGUUAGUAUUACUAAGAUUGUAUGUUGAAUGACCGAGCACAUAUAAUCCCUUGGACAUGAACGAAGACCCAGACUAAGUCUGGAAUGAGGAGUGGAUCCAGCUGCACCUAGGCUCCUUAUCUCUGUGGUUCAAGAAAUGUAAAAAGCACUGGAGUCCACUAUGAACCUCCUGACUCAACAGAGCCCUGGAUGAGGGCAUUAAAUCCACCUUCUAUGCAGUAAAUUGUCACGUGUAUGUUCCCAUCUUGAAUGUUGAUUACAAUUGAGCUUUGUUAAAUCACCACAUUCUAUCAAUAAAUAUAUUCCUGGUUCUCUGCUAUGAGCGCAUAGUUUCCAUCUGCAGCAGCCCAGUAUUUGAUUUCUCUCUGAUAGUCUCUUUCCUCACUCAGGGAAGGCUGAACAUUCUACCUCCCGUCUCAGCUAAUGUGAUCACAGGCUGAGGCAGGCU
This is a long non-coding RNA of Lagopus muta (rock ptarmigan), 1722 nucleotides long. RefSeq lists it as uncharacterized. The record is from RefSeq and is a predicted model, not a curated record. The transcript is spliced from 3 exons. NCBI's taxonomy places the organism in Eukaryota, Metazoa, Chordata, Aves, Galliformes, Phasianidae.